RNAcentral lists this ribosomal RNA (2717 nucleotides) under Shigella flexneri. RNAcentral's name for it is "partial 23S ribosomal RNA". It matches the Rfam family "Bacterial large subunit ribosomal RNA". Lineage: Bacteria; Pseudomonadati; Pseudomonadota; Gammaproteobacteria; Enterobacterales; Enterobacteriaceae. The record is from RNAcentral.
UCUAAGUACCCCGAGGAAAAGAAAUCAACCGAGAUUCCCCCAGUAGCGGCGAGCGAACGGGGAGCAGCCCAGAGCCUGAAUCAGUGUGUGUGUUAGUGGAAGCGUCUGGAAAGGCGUGCGAUACAGGGUGACAGCCCCGUACACAAAAAUGCACAUACUGUGAGCUCGAUGAGUAGGGCGGGACACGUGGUAUCCUGUCUGAAUAUGGGGGGACCAUCCUCCAAGGCUAAAUACUCCUGACUGACCGAUAGUGAACCAGUACCGUGAGGGAAAGGCGAAAAGAACCCCGGCGAGGGGAGUGAAAAAGAACCUGAAACCGUGUACGUACAAGCAGUGGGAGCACGCUUAGGCGUGUGACUGCGUACCUUUUGUAUAAUGGGUCAGCGACUUAUAUUCUGUAGCAAGGUUAACCGAAUAGGGGAGCCGAAGGGAAACCGAGUCUUAACUGGGCGUUAAGUUGCAGGGUAUAGACCCGAAACCCGGUGAUCUAGCCAUGGGCAGGUUGAAGGUUGGGUAACACUAACUGGAGGACCGAACCGACUAAUGUUGAAAAAUUAGCGGAUGACUUGUGGCUGGGGGUGAAAGGCCAAUCAAACCGGGAGAUAGCUGGUUCUCCCCGAAAGCUAUUUAGGUAGCGCCUCGUGAAUUCAUCUCCGGGGGUAGAGCACUGUUUCGGCAAGGGGGUCAUCCCGACUUACCAACCCGAUGCAAACUGCGAAUACCGGAGAAUGUUAUCACGGGAGACACACGGCGGGUGCUAACGUCCGUCGUGAAGAGGGAAACAACCCAGACCGCCAGCUAAGGUCCCAAAGUCAUGGUUAAGUGGGAAACGAUGUGGGAAGGCCCAGACAGCCAGGAUGUUGGCUUAGAAGCAGCCAUCAUUUAAAGAAAGCGUAAUAGCUCACUGGUCGAGUCGGCCUGCGCGGAAGAUGUAACGGGGCUAAACCAUGCACCGAAGCUGCGGCAGCGACGCUUAUGCGUUGUUGGGUAGGGGAGCGUUCUGUAAGCCUGUGAAGGUGUGCUGUGAGGUAUGCUGGAGGUAUCAGAAGUGCGAAUGCUGACAUAAGUAACGAUAAAGCGGGUGAAAAGCCCGCUCGCCGGAAGACCAAGGGUUCCUGUCCAACGUUAAUCGGGGCAGGGUGAGUCGACCCCUAAGGCGAGGCCGAAAGGCGUAGUCGAUGGGAAACAGGUUAAUAUUCCUGUACUUGGUGUUACUGCGAAGGGGGGACGGAGAAGGCUAUGUUGGCCGGGCGACGGUUGUCCCGGUUUAAGCGUGUAGGCUGGUUUUCCAGGCAAAUCCGGAAAAUCAAGGCCGAGGCGUGAUGACGAGGCACUACGGUGCUGAAGCAACAAAUGCCCUGCUUCCAGGAAAAGCCUCUAAGCAUCAGGUAACAUCAAAUCGUACCCCAAACCGACACAGGUGGUCAGGUAGAGAAUACCAAGGCGCUUGAGAGAACUCGGGUGAAGGAACUAGGCAAAAUGGUGCCGUAACUUCGGGAGAAGGCACGCUGAUACGUAGGUGAAGCGACUUGCUCGUGGAGCUGAAAUCAGUCGAAGAUACCAGCUGGCUGCAACUGUUUAUUAAAAACACAGCACUGUGCAAACACGAAAGUGGACGUAUACGGUGUGACGCCUGCCCGGUGCCGGAAGGUUAAUUGAUGGGGUUAGCGCAAGCGAAGCUCUUGAUCGAAGCCCCGGUAAACGGCGGCCGUAACUAUAACGGUCCUAAGGUAGCGAAAUUCCUUGUCGGGUAAGUUCCGACCUGCACGAAUGGCGUAAUGAUGGCCAGGCUGUCUCCACCCGAGACUCAGUGAAAUUGAACUCGCUGUGAAGAUGCAGUGUACCCGCGGCAAGACGGAAAGACCCCGUGAACCUUUACUAUAGCUUGACACUGAACAUUGAGCCUUGAUGUGUAGGAUAGGUGGGAGGCUUUGAAGUGUGGACGCCAGUCUGCAUGGAGCCGACCUUGAAAUACCACCCUUUAAUGUUUGAUGUUCUAACGUGGACCCGUGAUCCGGGUUGCGGACAGUGUCUGGUGGGUAGUUUGACUGGGGCGGUCUCCUCCUAAAGAGUAACGGAGGAGCACGAAGGUUGGCUAAUCCUGGUCGGACAUCAGGAGGUUAGUGCAAUGGCAUAAGCCAGCUUGACUGCGAGCGUGACGGCGCGAGCAGGUGCGAAAGCAGGUCAUAGUGAUCCGGUGGUUCUGAAUGGAAGGGCCAUCGCUCAACGGAUAAAAGGUACUCCGGGGAUAACAGGCUGAUACCGCCCAAGAGUUCAUAUCGACGGCGGUGUUUGGCACCUCGAUGUCGGCUCAUCACAUCCUGGGGCUGAAGUAGGUCCCAAGGGUAUGGCUGUUCGCCAUUUAAAGUGGUACGCGAGCUGGGUUUAGAACGUCGUGAGACAGUUCGGUCCCUAUCUGCCGUGGGCGCUGGAGAACUGAGGGGGGCUGCUCCUAGUACGAGAGGACCGGAGUGGACGCAUCACUGGUGUUCGGGUUGUCAUGCCAAUGGCACUGCCCGGUAGCUAAAUGCGGAAGAGAUAAGUGCUGAAAGCAUCUAAGCACGAAACUUGCCCCGAGAUGAGUUCUCCCUGACCCUUUAAGGGUCCUGAAGGAACGUUGAAGACGACGACGUUGAUAGGCCGGGUGUGUAAGCGCAGCGAUGCGUUGAGCUAACCGGUACUAAUGAACCGUGAGGCUUAACCUUACAACGCCGAAG